AGGAGCCUGGAUUGCAGACUCAGGUUCUAGGCUUCUAAAUUCAUCCUUCUUUCCAUUGUUCUAUGCUGCCUUCUUAGAGGGCUACAGCCUUAAUAUGUAUCAACGUUGUGAUCAUGACAGUCCAAAGAGAAAGUGUUUAUCUUAUCUUCACAAUGUAUCUCUCUUAAAUUUUUCAUGUUCUCACUACUCUCAUAGGGAAGAAAGGGAAAAGACAUUUAUCAAACCCCUACUAUGUCUAAGGCAGUGUGCUAAGCUCUUUUGGCAAACAACUCAGAAAGGUUUAAUACCCCCCAGCUCCUUCAAUAUUUCUUUGCUUUAUUAUACAAGUAAUGGCAAAAUAAGAACCAUCUCAGCAGAUGGGCUAAACCAGGUCAAGGACAACUGAGAGAGCUCAAACCCUUCUGUGAGUCAGUGAUGUCUACCCCAAGCACAUAAAGACUUGUGGAAUGGGAAGAAGGGAACUAUUUAUUCCAUUGGCCAUGAAAGUGGCUGAACAUAUGCUGUGGAAGGCUAGAGCUUGAUCAGACAUCAAAGAUGCCAAGGAAUCCACUGAAUCCCAGGCCAUUGCCAGUCAUCUUGAUUUGUCUUGCCCCUGGACUUCGAUGACUCUGGAAGAAAGAAUGAGACUGAGGACUUUGGGCAACUUUGCUAACUUAAAUCCAAUUCAUUUACAAGUCAAGAUAUCACCCUGUUGUGCCAUUGG
RNAcentral lists this long non-coding RNA (703 nucleotides) under Monodelphis domestica (gray short-tailed opossum). RNAcentral describes it as "lncRNA (ENSMODG00000044417.1)". The record is from RNAcentral. Lineage: Eukaryota; Metazoa; Chordata; Mammalia; Didelphimorphia; Didelphidae.